AACAACAACAACCCGGAAGUAAGCUCCCAACCUAAACACCGUGUAUCGUCUCGUUUUGUGGCUGAAAGUGCCUCCUCACCUGGCCAACUCGACAAUGGGCCCGGGGGGCGUUGUUGACAUUGCCACGUCAAUCAAACCUGCAGUAAAGCUGUCUACUGGACUCGGCAGAGGAAGGCCCAGGUCGCUGGCAACCCUGGAGAGUGAACACAUGACUUAAAUGGCUCGUCUUUACUACGCACAGGAAUGUAGUCUCGAGG
Molecule: long non-coding RNA, 257 nt
Organism: Nerophis lumbriciformis (worm pipefish)
Lineage: Eukaryota; Metazoa; Chordata; Actinopteri; Syngnathiformes; Syngnathidae
Source: RefSeq, a predicted model, not a curated record